AUACUCUCUCUACAGGCUACUUAC
RNAcentral lists this microRNA (24 nucleotides) under Ananas comosus (pineapple). Its description in RNAcentral is "microRNA s0425_c50a". Lineage: Eukaryota; Viridiplantae; Streptophyta; Magnoliopsida; Poales; Bromeliaceae. The record is from RNAcentral.